Hippopotamus amphibius kiboko is the source of this 1090-nucleotide long non-coding RNA. RefSeq lists it as uncharacterized. NCBI's taxonomy places the organism in Eukaryota, Metazoa, Chordata, Mammalia, Artiodactyla, Hippopotamidae. The record is from RefSeq and is a predicted model, not a curated record. The transcript has 4 exons.
UGUAGGUCAUACUGAGAAAAUAAGCAACAACUUUUCUUUAGAUAGUCUUCAUAAUUAUACUCAACCAACGUCUAUUAUUUAUUUAUUUAUUUAUUUUUUGGUUCGGGGGAGUUUUUUUGGCCACGCCUCAGCAUGUGGGGUCUUAGUUCCCCCACCAGCCAUGGAACGGAAGCCCACAGCAGUGGAAGCACAGAGUCGUAACCACUGGACCCCCCGAGAAGUUCCAGUAGCAACUUUAAUGAGGUAAACAGAGGGCUUCUCCAUUUUCUCAUCAGCGUGGCCAUUUCCUAGCCAACACCUGCUGUGCACAAGCUCCAGAGGAUGAAUUUUAAACUCGUUUCAUCCUGACAAUAGUAAGAGGUGAGCAAAAAUCCUUCUAUCUGGUUGGAUGAGCUGCAGAUAAUCAAUGCAGAAGGAAUAAUAGAAUCUGAGAAUCACCCUUUUGCACCCUCUAACAAGAUCACGGAUGGAGAUGGCAUGAAACGGUUGCUGGAAUCAGUAGGGGAAAGGAAACAACAACAACAAAAAACAAACAGGAAAAAAAAAUCAAUGACAACAACAAAAAACAUAGUUGAAAGACACUGCAGGAAACAGUUGGCCAAAUCCAGAAUGCAGGAUGUUCUACAGGACAAAUGAUGGCGUUUCUAUUAUCAAAUUAGAGGCAUGAAAAAAGGGGUAGGGAGGGAGAGAGGGACUGCUAAGGAAAGAAGAUCUGAGGGGCUUCCCUGGUGUCACAGUGGUUAAGAAUCCACCUGCCAAUGCAGGGGACAUGGGUUCGAUCCCUGAGCCAGGAAGAUCCCACAUGCCACAGAGCAACUAAAUCCAUGCACCACAACUAUCGAGCCCGUGUGCUGCAACUACUGAGCCUGCACUCUAGGGUCGGCGGGCCACAACUACUGAGCCCUUGUGCUGCAAAUACUGAAGCCCAAGCGCCUAGAGCCCAUGCUCCGCAACAAGAGAAGCCACCGCAAUGAAGAAUAGCCCCCACUCGCCACAACUAGAGAAAGCCUGUGCGCAGCAACAAAGACCCAACACAGCCAAAACAAUAAAAUAAAUAAAUAAUAAAAUAAAUGUUAAAAAAAAAAAAAAA